Molecule: long non-coding RNA, 419 nt
Filed under: Calidris pugnax (ruff)
Lineage: Eukaryota; Metazoa; Chordata; Aves; Charadriiformes; Scolopacidae
Description: lncRNA (ENSCPUG00000015395.1)
Source: RNAcentral
AUUGGAUUUAACAUAAGGAAGAAAAAGGAGGAGUGAUGAGAAGAGAGAACAGCUAAAGAAGGCUUUGAAAUGCCACCUCGUCAGAAGUUCUUGGGACAAAGAGGUGUAUCUACAGAAAGACAGAAAAUUAAUCACAGGAACGGAACACACUCUGGAUUUUCUUCCGAUGUGCAGACAACGCUGAUUGAAGUAUUGAGUCCACCUUCCUGUAAAUAUUCCAUUUCAAUAGAUUGCCAAAAGGAACUGAAAAAUACUUCAAAGGCAAUAACUUCAGACUCUAACUUCGUGCUUUCACUGAGAACGUAGAUCCUACAGCAAGGAAGUAACUGUAAGUGUUUGUGUUAUAUCUUUUCUUUUUUUAAAUGAAGUUUAUUGUAAGUCUUUUACUCUAAAUGUGUUCUGGAAAGCCAUCGUGACUG